This is a non-coding RNA of Acanthosepion pharaonis, 108 nucleotides long. Lineage: Eukaryota; Metazoa; Mollusca; Cephalopoda; Sepiida; Sepiidae. The record is from the annotation of a GenBank genome assembly.
UACGGUCAUAUGGAGUUGAAACACCGGUUUCCGUACGAUUACCGAAGUUAAGCAACGUCGAGCCUGCUCAGUAACUAUAUGGGUGACUGCUUAGGAAUACCUGGUACU